Molecule: ribosomal RNA, 253 nt
Filed under: uncultured bacterium
Lineage: Bacteria
Description: partial 16S ribosomal RNA
Rfam family: Bacterial small subunit ribosomal RNA
Source: RNAcentral
UACGGAGGGUGCAAACGUUGCUCGGAAUUACUGGGCGUAAAGCGCAUGUAGGUGGAUAGAUAAGUCAGAUGUGAAAGCCCUGGGCUCAACCUAGGAACUGCAUUUGAAACUGUCUAUCUUGAGUACUGGAGAGGAUUGCGGAAUUCCUGGUGUAGAGGUGAAAUUCGUAGAUAUCAGGAGGAACACCGGUGGCGAAGGCGGCAAUCUGGACAGUUACUGACACUGAGAUGCGAAAGCGUGGGGAGCAAACAGG